UGCCAGCCGCCGCGGUAAUACGGAGGGGGUUAGCGUUGUUCGGAAUUACUGGGCGUAAAGCGUACGUAGGCGGAUUAAUAAGUUAUUCGUUAAAUCCUAAAGCUUAACUUUAGAAUAGCCUAUAAUACUACUUUACUAGAGUUUUAUUCAGAAGAGUAGAAUUCCAUGUUUAGGGAUAAGCCCCGUAGAUAUAUGGAGGAACACCUGUGGCGAAGGCGACUCUUUAGUAAAAACUGACGUUGAGGGACGAAAGUGUAGGGAGCAAACAGGAUUAGAUA
This 278-nucleotide ribosomal RNA is filed under the name uncultured bacterium. RNAcentral describes it as "partial 16S ribosomal RNA". It matches the Rfam family "Bacterial small subunit ribosomal RNA", at positions 506 to 784 of the family's 1533-position model. The record is from RNAcentral.